UACAGAGGUCCCGAGCGUUGUUCGGAUUCACUGGGCGUAAAGGGUGCGUAGGUGGUGGGGUAAGUCUCGUGUGAAAGCUCGCAGCUUAACUGCGAAAAGUCACGGGAUACUAUUCCGCUGGAGGCUUGGAGGGGGGACUGGAAUACUUGGUGUAGCAGUGAAAUGCGUAGAUAUCAAGUGGAACACCAGUGGCGAAGGCAGCCCCCUGGGUCGAUACUGACGCUCAUGCACGAAAGCGUGGGUAGCAAACAGG
RNAcentral lists this ribosomal RNA (253 nucleotides) under uncultured prokaryote. RNAcentral's name for it is "partial 16S ribosomal RNA". It matches the Rfam family "Bacterial small subunit ribosomal RNA", at positions 524 to 776 of the family's 1533-position model. The record is from RNAcentral.